AUGAACUCUGGUUGUAUAUCGAACUGCAUCAACGAUGCACGUGACCCACGUGUUCCGAUGAGAGGUAGCUACGUGAACCUCUACAAGUGGCCGGAAUCAGAUGCUGCUUUUGUGAGGUCAGUGAGUUCCGGCAGAGAGCAUCCGAAGGUGGUGGAUAGCAUUUCUUGCAGACAAUUGUAUCUGAGAAGCUACACGUUUUGCAGAGAAGAUGAGAAGAAGAAGAAAGUGAAGGUGAAUACGAAGAAACGUGUGGUUGUUAAGAAGAAAAUUUUGGGUGGGAAGAAAGAUAAAAAGAGUUCAUGUUCUGUUUGGUUUGGUAUUUUUCGAAGGUUCUUGUCUUGCUGUGCUAGUGUUGAUGUUUGUGGAUGA
Molecule: non-coding RNA, 369 nt
Organism: Vicia faba (fava bean)
Lineage: Eukaryota; Viridiplantae; Streptophyta; Magnoliopsida; Fabales; Fabaceae
Source: the annotation of a GenBank genome assembly